RNAcentral lists this small nuclear RNA (62 nucleotides) under Cervus elaphus hippelaphus. The record is from RNAcentral. Lineage: Eukaryota; Metazoa; Chordata; Mammalia; Artiodactyla; Cervidae.
GGAAUAGUGCAGGGACUGUUAGCGUGGCCCCGGGCGAGGAUGACGUGCAGAUUCCUGAAGUG